RNAcentral lists this transfer RNA (73 nucleotides) under Petrosaurus thalassinus. RNAcentral's name for it is "tRNA-Asn". Lineage: Eukaryota; Metazoa; Chordata; Lepidosauria; Squamata; Phrynosomatidae. The record is from RNAcentral.
CAGAUAGAAGCCCGCUGGAUAGGGCGAUUAGCUGUUAACUAAUUUUUUGUGGGAUCGAGGCCCGCUUAUCUAG